AACAGCUUGGAAUAGCUUUGACUAUCUCCCACAGGGGUCUGAGGUAGCUUCUGAGGGCCUUGCCCCGGGUCCUAACUCAGGCCAAGCUCGACCCUAGAGUUAGCUCGUUUGCUCAGGGCGAGGCUGGACCUGCCUGGUACAGCCUCCACUGGGGUCAGAAGGUUCACCAGAGCGGGUCUGCUUCUUAGCUCCUGGAUGGACUGUUGACAGGACUGAUGUCCUCAGAAGCUGUUGGCCUGAGGGCCUCAGAUGCUCCUGCCUGGGGUCUGAAGACCGCCCUCCGAGCCACAGGGCUCGAGAACACCAUUUCUGGCUUUCAUCCAUGUGAGCAGCGAUAGAGCCGGUGAGAGCUGGCCAGACGGCUCUCUCACCUUAGCAGCCCACACUGGAGAAUCUGGGUGGCAUCUGAACACAGGGCUCUCGGGGGUCACCGCAAAGUGCCACCUAACACAACCCGUAAGCCGGGUGUCCCAAGGAGGGGCCGAGCAGACGGGCACUGGUUUCUCUAAGUCAGGGCCUCUGUAGAGAAGACACUGGGAGAUAACGUUUACAGAGAGGCGUGCUGAGCCGGAAUCUAAUAAGAAAUGGACAGCAUGAAAAAGAAGUCGUCAAGAUGUAGCUGUAGCGUAGGCUGCGGGUGAGACUGACGCCACAGGCGCCGGGGAUACGGAAACAGAAGGGAAGGAACUGAGACCUGGAGAUGCGGGGUCACAUUCCGUGUCCAUUCUCAGGAAGACCGAUCCCUGAGGUGUUUCCCCACGGAGCCGGAGCCGACCAUGACGUAAACAGCGAAGGAUUUGGGGCCACGUUCCUGAUAGUCCCCCUCCGGACUACUUGACAAGGGGGGUGGAGCUGAGUAGUUCCUGGAAUCAUCUAUCACCCCAGACAUCACAUUUAGAACUAUGCAAAUAAUUCAGACGCUACAACGCAAGCCCUAAAUAGACCUUAAACCCACACACAACUUACUUGUGUCCAGAUCCGUGGACUGUGUCCCUUUAAAUGUCCUUUCCAUU
This is a long non-coding RNA of Peromyscus leucopus (white-footed mouse), 1013 nucleotides long. RefSeq lists it as uncharacterized. The record is from RefSeq and is a predicted model, not a curated record. The transcript is spliced from 2 exons. Lineage: Eukaryota; Metazoa; Chordata; Mammalia; Rodentia; Cricetidae.